UUCCUGUACUUGGUGUUACUGCGAAGGGGGGACGGAGAAGGCUAUGUUGGCCGGGCGACGGUUGUCCCGGUUUAAGCGUGUAGGCUGGUUUUCCAGGCAAAUCCGGAAAAUCAAGGCUGAGGCGUGAUGACGAGGCACUACGGUGCUGAAGCAACAAAUGCCCUGCUUCCAGGAAAAGCCUCUAAGCAUCAGGUAACAUCAAAUCGUACCCCAAACCGACACAGGUGGUCAGGUAGAGAAUACCAAGGCGCUUGAGAGAACUCGGGUGAAGGAACUAGGCAAAAUGGUGCCGUAACUUCGGGAGAAGGCACGC
RNAcentral lists this ribosomal RNA (313 nucleotides) under Escherichia coli. RNAcentral's name for it is "partial 23S ribosomal RNA". It matches the Rfam family "Bacterial large subunit ribosomal RNA", at positions 1436 to 1751 of the family's 2925-position model. RNAcentral also lists the same sequence under 1 other name. Lineage: Bacteria; Pseudomonadati; Pseudomonadota; Gammaproteobacteria; Enterobacterales; Enterobacteriaceae. The record is from RNAcentral.